Molecule: ribosomal RNA, 4659 nt
Filed under: Triticum aestivum (bread wheat)
Lineage: Eukaryota; Viridiplantae; Streptophyta; Magnoliopsida; Poales; Poaceae
Description: partial small subunit ribosomal RNA
Source: RNAcentral
AUGGGGGCGGCAGAGCUGACCAUCUCUGAGCUGCAGAAAUUGAUCCAAGCGACGGUGAUUCAGAGCAAGGCCGUCUCCGACGCGGGGGUCCGCAACUCCAAGCGGAUCGACGAGCUCCGCACCACGGUCGACUCCUUCUCUGAAUCGACCACCAAGGCUCUCUCCGAUCUCACCAGCUCCACGGCGACGGCGACCCAGCGUGUCGAGACUACGCUGGACCGCAUAAUCACGGCCCACAACAAGCUCGACAAGACAGCCGACGAGUUGAAGUUGUCGAUGGAGGCGGUGGCGCGCCGCGUCGAUUUCCUCGAGCGGGGGCAGCCUCCUUCCACGACCCCGGCGCAGCCGCAUCAGCGACCGGGUGUGCUUCGGCCCCAUGGGCACCGUGAAGAACUGCAUCACCAGGGUGCUGUUUCUGGAGAGAUUCGAACCUCCGGACACGCCCUGGUCGGGGGUGAGCAAUCGCAAACCCGUGACCACCUUACUUCUGCUAUGUAUGGUUCAGCAGAGAGAGAUGACGAUCGUACCACUGCAUAUCCGCAUCAGCCCUACAGUCAUAGUGGUCCGCGGUUGCCCAAAUCAGAUUUCCCAAAAUUCACUGGUGAUAAUCCCAAAUGGUGGAAGGAACAAUGCGAAAAGUAUUUUAAAAUGUACCAUGUUAAUCCUGAGUUGUGGGUGGAUUUUGCCACUAUGCAUUUCACCGGCAAUGCUUCCCUGUGGUUGCAAACUUUCGAAGCCAUGCAUUCAGUGGAUAGCUGGCCUGCCUUGUGUGUAGGAGUGUUUGCUAAGUUCAACAAAAAUCAGUAUGCUAAACUCAUGGACAUGUUUUUUGCAUUUCGGCAAGUUGCAUCAGUAGAUGAAUAUGCCCAUACAUUUGAAGAGUUCAUGCAUAAGAUUCUGGUUUACAAUCACUCCUAUGAUGAAACCUUCUUUGUGAACCGUUUCAUUGAUGGUCUUAAGCCAGACAUCAAGUCUGCUAUUAAAUUACACAAUCCUGGAACUGUUGAUCUGGCUUGUUCCCUUGCUCAAACACAGGAAGUGUUGUUGGUGGAAGAUACUCGUCCGUCCUUCAAGAAGGGGGAUUAUCGCCACAAAUUCAAGAUGAAUGCUCAGCUGCCAAGCAUUCUAGGAAACCCGGGUGAGAAGCGGACGGAUGACAGGAUCAAGUACAACACUAAGUUUGAUUCUCUCAAGGCCCAACGGCGUGCUCGUGGCGAAUGCUUUAAGUGCGGGGAAAAAUUCUCCCCAGGCCACAAGUGCCCCCCGCAGGUUCAGUUGCAUGUCCUUGAAGAACUGAUUACCUCUCUUGAUAUUUCUGAUGACGAAGAUGACAAUGGAUGGCCUGAAGAGCACACCCCUGACCCGGAUGAGGAUGACCAUGUCAUGAAGCUAUCUGUCCAUGCAGCAUGUGGGACACAGUGUAAGAAGAGUAUUCGGCUUCAGGGUUUCAUUGGCAAACAAGAAGUAUUGAUCCUGGUAGAUUCUGGAAGCUCCAGUAACUUCAUAAGCUCCAAAUUGGUUGACCGUUUACAGUGUACCACUGCUCCGUUUCCUGCUGCCAAAGUGACAGUUGCUGAUGGAGGAAGUCUUGACUGUAACAUGAUGGUGUCAUCUCUACAGUGGUGGACUCAAGGCACAUCAUUUACAUCCUCGCUGAAGGCACUUCCAUUAGGCACAUAUGACAUCAUCCUUGGUAUGGAGUGGCUUGAAGAGAUGAGCCCAAUGUGGGUAGAUUGGAAAAAGAAGACAUUACGGUUCACACAUAAUGGAGUUCGCAUCACUCUUCGAGGCAUUAAAGAUAAACCUGCCAGUUGCUCAGCUAUUUCUGCUAAACAGCUUCAGGGCUUGGUUAACAAUGGAGGUGUGGUGCAUAUGUUAGAAUUGUGUGCUGUGCAAGACGUAUUCGAGGCACCUGGCUCAUCCACCCCUCUACCACCAGCCAUUACCCGAGUUCUUUCUCAGCAUGAGGCUGUGUUUGAAGAUCCUCAGGUGUUGCCUCCUCACCGCAGUUUUGACCAUAACAUUCCACUGCUUCCAGGGGUGAAGCCUGUUAAUGUCAAGCCAUAUCGUUAUGCUCCUAUGCAGAAAACUGAGAUUGAGCGACAAGUGCGUGAAAUGCUCCAAAAGGGACUUAUACAGAAUAGCACUAGCUCAUUUGCAUCUCCGGUGUUGUUGGUGAAGAAGAAGGAUGGUUCAUGGCGUUUUUGUGUUGACUAUAGGCACCUCAAUAAUAUUACAGUUAAGAAUAAAUACCCAAUGCCAGUGAUCGAUGAGCUACUUGAUGAAUUGUCCGGUGCAAAUUGGUUUACCAAACUGGAUCUCAAAUCUGGGUACCAUCAAAUUCGGCUAGUGCUUGGUGAAGAACACAAGUCGGCUUUCAAAACACACCAAGGGUUGUAUGAAUUCAAGCACCAGUUGUAUAUUAAGAAGAGUAAAUGUUCCUUUGCCCAAAAACAACUUGAGUACUUGGGUCACAUCAUCAGUCACAAAGGGGUCGCUACUGACCCUUCGAAGAUCCAAGCUGUCGCUCAGUGGCCUACACCGACAACUAUCAAGCAAGUUAGGGGGUUUCUUGGGUUAACGGGUUAUUACCGCAAGUUCAUAAAACAUUAUGGGAUCAUCAGUCGAGUAUUGUCAGAUUUGCUCCGUAAAGAUACCAUGUUUUAUUGGACAAACAAAGAAGAUGAAGCUUUUCAACAUUUGAAAUCAGCUCUUACUCAAGCCCCUGUCUUGGCUCUACCAAAUUUCAAAUUGCCAUUUGUUGUCGAAACAGAUGCAAGCAAGUAUGGUAUUGGUGCUGUACUGAUGCAACAAGGGCAUCCGAUCAGUUUUCUCAGCAAGGCUUUGGGACCCAAGACGCAAGGCUACUCCACUUAUGAGAAGGAGUGUCUUGCUAUCUUGAUGGCGGUGGAGAAAUGGCGUUCAUACCUCCAGCACGCUGAAUUCACCAUUUCCACUGAUCACCGUAGCUUAACUUACUUGUCUGAGCAAAAGCUUACUACUGACAUCCAACAAAAGGCUUUUCUGAAAUUAAUGGGACUCCAGUACAAGUUGGUUUACAAAAAAGGCCAUGAAAAUGCUGCUGCUGAUGCUCUUUCCCGUCAAGCAAUUCCUGAAUCAUGUCAUGCAAUUUCUCUCUGUCAGCCCAAGUGGUUGGAAGUAAUUGUGGAUGGCUACACAAAAGAUGAUACAACUAAAAAGUUGUUACAGGAGUUGAGUUUCACUGGAUCUAACUCUGCUGGCUACACGUUGGUGAAUGGUAUUAUCAGGCAUAAGGGACGCGUCUGGCUCGGUUCUAACACUGAGGCACAUCAAGCUAUUCUGCUCUCCUUGCAUGCAAGUGGCAUUGGUGGUCACUCUGGGUUCUUAGCAACUUACAAGCGCAUUAGUGCUCUGUUUGCAUGGCCUGGUAUGAAGACUGAUGUAAAAACAUAUGUGCAAAAUUGUACCAUAUGUCAGCAAGCCAAAUCUGAAACUGUGAAGUUGCCAGGUCUUCUGAAUCCAUUACCCAUCCCAGAUGAACCUUGGAGUUUGGUGAGCAUGGAUUUUGUGGAGGGCCUUCCCAAGUCUGGCUCAUAUAAUACCAUAUUGGUGGUGAUUGACAAGUACACUAAGUUCGGUCACUUCAUCCCUCUGGCUCAUCCCUACUCUGCUCUUCAAGUUGCUCAACUCUUUUACAACCACAUCUAUAAGUUACAUGGUCUGCCGUCCGGCAUUAUAUCUGAUCGGGAUAAGGUAUUUACCAGCAAUGUUUGGCAAUCUUUGUUCAAGAUGACGGAUGUGAAGAUGAAUAUGAGUUCGGCACACCAUCCCCAAACUGAUGGUCAGACCGAAAAGCUUAAUCAAUGUCUUGAGACCUUUCUCAGGUGUACGGUUCAUGCUUCGCCGACCAAAUGGUCUCAAUGGUUGCCUUCGGCUGAACAUUGGUACAACACUAAUUUUCACUCAGCGCUGGGCAAGUCUCCAUUCGAGGUGUUAUAUGGCUAUAAACCACGACAAUUGGGCAUUGCUCAUAUUCCAGAAUCCACACCAUCUGAUCUGGCGGGUUGGCUACAAGAAAGAGAAAUGAUGCAAGAACUUGUUAAGCAACACCUACUUCGAGCUCAGCACCGCAUGAAGCAACAAGAAGAUAAACAUCGUUCUGAUCGGGUGUUUCAGGUGGGAGAUUUUGUUUAUCUCAAGCUUCAACCAUAUGCACAAAUGUCUGUUGCUCGUCGUGCAAAUCACAAGUUGUCCUUCAAAUUUUAUGGUCCCUAUGAGGUGCUCGCUCGCGUGGGAAAGUCAGCCUACAAAUUGAAGCUUCCAACAAAUAGUCGUAUUCAUCCGGUGGUGCACGUCUCCCAGCUGAAGCCCUCUCUACCGGCAAAUCAGGUGCCUUCUGAUGCUUCUUUGCAUCUGCUUACGGAUGUUCCAGUUUCUAUUCAGCCGGGGCAGAUUCUUGAUUCUCGUUUGGUGCGAGCUGGUAAUGGCGCUCGUGCACAAGUGCUCGUUCAUUGGGCUGGCCUCUCAUCUAAUCUGAACUCCUGGGAAGACAAGAACGCACUCCAGCACCGGUUUCCUUCUACAGCAGCAUGGGGGCAUGCUGUGUCUCAAGGAGGAGGGCAUGCUACGCACCUUCCAUGUGGGCCAGCCAAGACCAAGGCCUCUCCUAGAAGCUGA